This 255-nucleotide ribosomal RNA is filed under the name uncultured bacterium. RNAcentral describes it as "partial 16S ribosomal RNA". It matches the Rfam family "Bacterial small subunit ribosomal RNA", at positions 99 to 354 of the family's 1533-position model. The record is from RNAcentral.
CGGACGGGUGAGUAACGCGUGGGUAACCUGCCUCAUACAGGGGGAUAACAGUUAGAAAUGACUGCUAAUACCGCACAAGCGCACGGGGAUGCAUAUUCUUGUGUGAAAAACUCCGGUGGUAUGAGAUGGACCCGCGUCUGAUUAGCUAGUUGGUGAGGUAACGGCUCACCAAGGCGACGAUCAGUAGCCGGCCUGAGAGGGUGGACGGCCACAUUGGGACUGAGACACGGCCCAAACUCCUACGGAAGGCAGCAG